GAAACAAGCGCACAAACUUAUACUCUUUUCUUCUACUACUACUACUACUACUAAUCAUUGUUGUUGUUGUUGUUGAUGUGCUUUUCGUUACUUUAACGUUAUUUCGAGCACACAGCUUUAAUUGCGAUGCAUGUGCGUGAGAGCCUUUUGUGUUUGCGUAAGGAUCAUUUGCAUACUUUUGAUUUUGUCCAAAGUGCACAAAUGUACAUAUGUACUCUUAUAAAUAUGUGUAUUAUUAUCUUAUACUGUGUAUACGUAUGUAUAUAUUGCUCACAUUUCGCUCUCUCAGUUACAUCAUCAAUUUAACAACAACACGGGCGGAACUUUCUUCACAUUUAUUGCUGAGUUAGCCCUGGCUCAAGGUCAGAGCCCGCCUGCAGUUUUGUCAAUACAACAUGCCAAAGCUUUAGAGUGCAGUCAAAUUCCCAAAAAUCGCUGUCUAGUCAGACAAUUGGACGGCAACGAUGUACCGUAAUUUAGUCAACCGCUAACUGUGCUUGAUUUUUGUUCUAUUUCUGUCCGCAAGAGAUACUCUUUUAAGUACUCGUUCUUUUCAAUUUUAUUUAUGUUUAUUGCGGCCAUCAUCAUCAUCAAGUGCUUUAAUUAAUGUUUCCGUAACGGUGACACAGCGCACACACGCACGCCCACACAGAUUGCACUCAAUUAACGCAUGCAUAUGUAUGUGUGUGUGUGUGUGUGUGUGUGAACGACUAAAGCUCAAGAGUUAAAGCUCUGUUUACACUUCAGUCAUUGCACUUUUCGCUGUGCAGCAUUUCUCAGGUUCUGUGUGGGUCUCACCGGUCCUAACCGGUUCGUUGCUGUUGCUGACCGUUUCAAGUCUGGCGCCGUGCGCUUAAAGCGAAGCACCAAAAGCAAAUAAUACGCGAGUGCACUUAAGCAACUGUAGAAAGCAACAGCAAGUUUCAAACUUCUGAUUAACGCCAGCCCUUACCCCCUCCUGCAGAGCAUUGCGUGUUAACUCGGAAAGCGAAGGGAAUUUUUGAUGGCUUUAAACUGUGUUCGCUGAUUUGGGGCAGGCUAUUAAUAGGACCCCUUGGAAAGUGCAUAUGUAUGUAGGUACAGCCCGUACACGCAUAGUUCGUGGAAUAUUAAAUCGCUCAAUUAAUCUGAUUGUGAGCUAUUAUUGUUAUUAUAGAGAGGCUUUGCUCGCCGCCACGACUUUCAUUAAGCCCAAUCGUGCUUGGGGCUGGCUUAAUGAAAAGUCCUAAAUACCUAAGCAGAAAUAAAGCUGCCUAACUGAUCCUGGCUACCGGAGAUA
This is a non-coding RNA of Drosophila virilis, 1279 nucleotides long. Lineage: Eukaryota; Metazoa; Arthropoda; Insecta; Diptera; Drosophilidae. The record is from RefSeq and is a predicted model, not a curated record.